This 498-nucleotide ribosomal RNA is filed under the name uncultured bacterium. RNAcentral describes it as "partial 16S ribosomal RNA". It matches the Rfam family "Bacterial small subunit ribosomal RNA", at positions 30 to 523 of the family's 1533-position model. The record is from RNAcentral.
AUUGAACGCUGGCGGCAUGCCUUACACAUGCAAGUCGAACGGUAACAGGUCUUCGGAUGCUGACGAGUGGCGAACGGGUGAGUAAUACAUCGGAACGUGCCUAGUAGUGGGGGAUAACUACUCGAAAGAGUGGCUAAUACCGCAUGAGAUCUACGGAUGAAAGCAGGGGAUCGCAAGACCUUGUGCUACUAGAGCGGCCGAUGGCAGAUUAGGUAGUUGGUGGGAUAAAAGCUUACCAAGCCGACGAUCUGUAGCUGGUCUGAGAGGACGAUCAGCCGCACUGGGACUGAGAAACGGCCCAGACUCCUAAGGGAGGCAGCAGCGGGGAAUUUUGGGCAAUGGGCGCAAGCCUGAUCCAGCAAUGCCGCGUGCAGGAUGAAGGCCUUCGGGUUGUAAACUGCUUUUGUACGGAACGAAAAGCCCCGGGUUAAUACCCUGGGGUCAUGACGGUACCGUAAGAAUAAGCACCGGCUAACUACGUGCCAGCCGCCGCCGUAA